AAGCAUCUGAUGAUCUACUCAGAUUCCCCUUCAAGACAUUUUUGUGGGUCAUGCAAUCCUGAGUCUCUGAUGCA
Small nucleolar RNA from Diospyros lotus (date-plum), 74 nucleotides. RefSeq annotates it as small nucleolar RNA snoR60. The record is from RefSeq and is a predicted model, not a curated record. NCBI's taxonomy places the organism in Eukaryota, Viridiplantae, Streptophyta, Magnoliopsida, Ericales, Ebenaceae. The transcript has a single exon.